AUACGGAGGGUGCAAGCGUUACUCGGAAUCACUGGGCGUAAAGCGCGCGCAGGCGGGCUGAUAAGUUGGAUGUGAAAGCCUACGGCUCAACCGUAGAACUGCAUCCAAAACUGUCAGUCUAGAGUGUGGAAGAGGAAGAUGGAAUUAGUUGUGUAGGGGUAGAAUCCGUAGAGAUAACUAGGAAUACCAAAAGCGAAGGCAAUCUUCUGGAACACUACUGACGCUGAGGCGCGAAGGCGUGGGGAGCAAACAGGAUUAGAAACCCCAGUAGUCC
Molecule: ribosomal RNA, 274 nt
Filed under: uncultured bacterium
Lineage: Bacteria
Description: partial 16S ribosomal RNA
Rfam family: Bacterial small subunit ribosomal RNA
Source: RNAcentral